This 158-nucleotide non-coding RNA is filed under the name bovine gut metagenome. Its description in RNAcentral is "Lysine riboswitch". It matches the Rfam family "Lysine riboswitch aptamer". From Rfam's summary of the family: Riboswitches are metabolite binding domains within certain messenger RNAs that serve as precision sensors for their corresponding targets. Allosteric rearrangement of mRNA structure is mediated by ligand binding, and this results in modulation of gene expression. This family includes riboswitches that sense lysine in a number of genes involved in lysine metabolism, including lysC. The record is from RNAcentral.
CCGAUAGAGGUCGCGGAGAUUAAGAGUAGCAGCUUUUCAAAACUGGGACUGAAGCUGUGAAAGGAUGAUCCGCCGAAGCAGAUCGGAAUCCCAAAGCCGAUUUGCUGGGACGAUGUAAUAAGAUGCAUCGUACUGUCACGUAAGUGGAGAGCUAUCAU